GACGAACGCUGGCGGCGUGCCUAAUACAUGCAAGUAGAACGCUGAAGAGAGGGGUUUGCUCUGCUGGGCUGAGUUGCGAACGGGUGAGUAACGCGUAGGUAACCUGCAUUGUAGCGGGGGAUAACUAUUGGAAACGAUAUCUAAUACCGCAUAACAAUGGAUGACCCAUGUCAUUUAUUGGAAAGUGGAAAAUGCUCCACUACAAGAGGGACCUACGUUGUAUUAGCUAGUAGGUGCGGUAACGGCGCACCUAGGCGACGACACAUAGCCGACCUGAGAGGGUGAUCGGCCACACUGGGAGUGAGACACGGCACAGACUCACUCGGGAGGCAGCCAGAGGGAAUCUGGGGCCAUGGGGGCAAACCAUACCGAAACAGGCCGAGGCAGGGAAGAAUGUUGUCGGGUCGGAAAGGUCGGUUGUCAGGCUAGAAAGAGUGUGAGAGUGGAAAGUUGACAAUGUGACGGUAGCUGCAGAGAAAGGAACGGCUAACUACGUG
Molecule: ribosomal RNA, 497 nt
Filed under: uncultured bacterium
Lineage: Bacteria
Description: partial 16S ribosomal RNA
Rfam family: Bacterial small subunit ribosomal RNA
Source: RNAcentral